Sapajus apella (tufted capuchin) is the source of this 1801-nucleotide long non-coding RNA. RefSeq lists it as uncharacterized. The transcript has 3 exons. NCBI's taxonomy places the organism in Eukaryota, Metazoa, Chordata, Mammalia, Primates, Cebidae. The record is from RefSeq and is a predicted model, not a curated record.
AAGAGAGGAUGGUUAGUGAGUAUAAAGAGGGGAUGGUUAGUGGGUACAGAAAUACUGUUAGAAGGAAUAGGAUCUAGUGUUCAUUAGCACAGUAGGGUGACUACAGUUAACAGUAAUUUAUGUCUAUUUCAAAAUAACUAAAAGAGGAGAAUUGGAAUGUUCCUAACACUGAGAAAUGGUAAGUGCUUGGGGUGAUGCAUUUUGCCCUUUGAUCACUAUAAAAUGUAUGUUUGUAUCAAAAUAUCACAUGUAAAAAUAUAUAAAUAAAUAAAGAUAAGUCUAGGCCCCAAAAUUAAUAUCCCAUCUCUUCCCUGACCAAAGGCAUAAAGCAUUACCCCUGGCACAAAGGAUCUUCAUUAUAGCUCUCAGAUACUGAGACAUUUAGACAGGCCUGAGUCCCAGACUAUAAAUGGUAGGGGUGUAGAGACUAGGAACUCUCUGUGGUUCAGUAAAGCAACCCAUCACUGCAGGCUGGGACUGGAAGGGGCUAUUUCCAGGAAGCAUUGGCUUUUGUACUGAGCUGGACCGAACAAACAUUGAGAAAAGAUAGAAGAAAGAUGAGUCAGGCUGAAUGUGACUGAUUUAAUUUAUUCCUUUCACUUGAACCGUGUGGUGCCUCAGUUUCAUGUGUCUGCAGAGGACGCUCACCCUUGGCACCAACUGGAAAGUGUAACAGCAGGGCAUUCGGGUUCUGGCCAAGGAGCCAUCAGCAAUCCCAUUACCAGUGCUUAAAGUGAGUCUCAUAAGGCAGCUCUGGCUCCAAGCAAAAACCACAGCUCGAUUUUCAUAAACUAAUUUCACUUGUUUGCCCCAGUUAAUAUUAAUAAGCCCAGGGCUAUAUGCUUCUACUUACCAGAGCACAAAGAUAAUAGAAUAAUAGAAUGUUAGAUCUGAAAUGGACCUUGGAGAUCUUCUAGACCAACGUCUCCAUUUGAUAGAUGAGGAAACAGGUAUGAGGAAGUAAAGGGCCAGGCUGCAGGUAGUGAGAUUCACAGACUGGACUGGAACCCAAGUUCUCUGACCCAGAGCCCUCUUCAGGGUCUGUCAGAUCUUUCAAACAUCUGCCUCUUUCUACCUCAUCCCCGUGGACUGGAGUGCGGUGGAAAGAACUUUGGACCAGGCAAUGGGAGAACCAGGAUCUAAACAUAUCUUCAUUAAUUUUACUUGAAUUUCUCUGGCCUCUUAUUUCCUCUUCACAGCAUCAACUUUCUUGUAAAAGUGGAGGCCUACUACUGUUCCCCAAAGUAAGAGACAAGGUAAAACAGCAUCUCCACAAUACUGGCAAGCCAAAUGUGAAACAGAUCCCAGUGGUGGUGUUGCUUGGUGUUCUGUGACUUUGAAACCUAAAGCUUCCCUAGACUGUUAAAAUUACUAAAUGAGUACAUAAAGCACAUAGCACAAAGGCCUGGCUCUGAGAUGCUUACGCUCUUCCUGGGGCUCUUAUCUUCUUCCUUCCUGAUAGAACAUGUGUACGUUCAUAUGUAUCUGUAAGGGACAUGAAUUGUCCAGAAUUCCUUGUAGUCAGAAUGUCUAGUGAUAUAAUGUUCCUACGUUACUUACCAGUUUCCACUCAGUAAGUCAGCUUGAAGAACUCAUUUCCAUUUCUCUUCAACUAGUCCAACAUCCGUUUUCACCUACAUGGAUACUUCUAUUGGCAUGGGGACAAAUAAAUCACAUUUGGAAUGGUCCCAGGACAAUUUAGCUUUAGAGGAAAAAAAAAAAAAAAAAGGAUGGUAACAUGAAGGACAUUUGCUGUGUUGGGCUGUCACUAGGUCCCCAUCGGAACUGUGAAAAAUUAUGG